CCUGGCUUCAUAGUGUGAUUCCAGAAAGUUCAACACAAAAUCUCGCUACGUCUUUCACAACCUUACUUUCUAUUUCUAGUCAUUCUAUCUACAAUGUCCCGCCCAACCAGAUCCAGCAUUCGCCCUGCCUUACCAACAUCAUCCAGCCCUCGUCUUGCGUCUUCAUCAAGCGGUGGGCAGAGAAGUGGUGGUUAAAGAGGUGUAAACGGCUUUGUACCUUAUUCUGUGGGGGAGUCUCACACUCUCAAACCCAUCUUGAUGUCCCCUCCCAUCCUCGUCCUAGGAGGACUCGGAGUGACCAAGAGCUGAUAGACGGGUUCUUGGCUGAAGCCCAGGAACAUCAGCAAUCCCAGAGAACAGCUGAUGUCAACGGCGUCCCCGCUCUGCCUCCUUCCUCAACGACGCCUCUUUCUCUCCCUCUCGGACUUCUCCCUUGUCGCCGAUAAGCUCCCAACGCUUUCCUUAGAAGGAUGUCCGCCGAAGCGCUGUCCGAGCGUUCGGUGAUAAAGUGGGUCCGCGUGGAAGGGGACGGAUUAUGAGGAGUGUGUGCCCUUCAUGGGUCUUGUCGCCGACAAGACGUCGACGUCUUUGGUGCUGCCCGCUGAAACAGCAAGUGGCCUAUACGGUCACUGGGCAUGCAGUGCCUUAAAAAUAAGGCCCAAACCGCUAGGAAGAAGAGAAGCUCGUGAUCUUCCUCCUAGUGGAUGUCUCGAAUUGUGCUUUUGUAUAUUGUACUUUAAUGAUUCUAUUUUUUGUGUUUUUAUGAUUUGGUGCCUGUGAUUCGACCAACCAAACCAAGGGUUAGCUGCAGGCCCAUUUCAAGCUGCUAAAAAUUGACAUGGGACACGCCCUACAGUCGCGGGUCUUUGGUGUAAGAUAAACUGGAUGAAAGAUACGUAGUAGCAUGUUGUCGUAGAGGCUGGAGGUGAAAAAUGAGAAUGCAUCUCUAUGCCAUGAUGCAUAAUAUUUAGUCAGCAC
Molecule: small RNA, 978 nt
Filed under: Cryptococcus neoformans H99
Lineage: Eukaryota; Fungi; Basidiomycota; Tremellomycetes; Tremellales; Cryptococcaceae
Description: Cryptococcus neoformans var. grubii H99 hypothetical RNA
Source: RNAcentral